CGUAGGGGGCAAGCGUUGUCCGGAAUCAUUGGGCGUAAAGAGCGCGUAGGCGGUCCGGUAAGUCCGCUGUGAAAGUCCGGGGCUCAACCCUGGGAUGCCGGUGGAUACUGUCGGGCUAGAGUCCGGAAGAGGCGAGUGGAAUUCCUGGUGUAGCGGUGAAAUGCGCAGAUAUCAGGAGGAACACCGAUGGCGAAGGCAGCUCGCUGGGACGGUAUUGACGCUGAGGCGCGAAAGCGUGGGGAGCAAACAGGAUUAGAUACCCUGGUAGUCCACGCCGUAAACGAUGGACACUAGGUGUGGGAGGUGUCGACUCCUCCCGUGCCGUAGCUAACGCAUUAAGUGUCCCGCCUGGGGAGUACGGCCGCAAGGCUA
Molecule: ribosomal RNA, 372 nt
Filed under: uncultured organism
Description: bacterial SSU rRNA
Rfam family: Bacterial small subunit ribosomal RNA
Source: RNAcentral